GAUGAACGCUGGCGGCGUGCCUAAUACAUGCAAGUCGAGCGAACGGACGAGAAGCUUGCUUCUCUGAUGUUAGCGGCGGACGGGUGAGUAACACGUGGAUAACCUACCUAUAAGACUGGGAUAACUUCGGGAAACCGGAGCUAAUACCGGAUAAUAUUUUGAACCGCAUGGUUCAAAAGUGAAAGACGGUCUUGCUGUCACUUAUAGAUGGAUCCGCGCUGCAUUAGCUAGUUGGUAAGGUAACGGCUUACCAAGGCAACGAUGCAUAGCCGACCUGAGAGGGUGAUCGGCCACACUGGAACUGAGACACGGUCCAGACUCCUACGGGAGGCAGCAGUAGGGAAUCUUCCGCAAUGGGCGAAAGCCUGACGGAGCAACGCUGCGUGAGUGAUGAAGGUCUUCGGAUCGUAAAACUCUGUUAUUAGGGAAGAACAUAUGUGUAAGUAACUGUGCACAUCUUGACGGUACCUAAUCAGAAAGCCACGGCUAACUACGUGCCAGCAGCCGCGGUAAUACGUAGGUGGCAAGCGUUAUCCGGAAAUAUUGGGCGUAAAGCGCGCGUAGCGGUUUUUUAAGUCUGAUGUGAAAGCCCACGGCCUCAACCGUGGAGGGUCAUUGGAAACUGGAAAACUUGAGUGCAGAAGAGGAAAGUGGAAUUCCAUGUGUAGCGGUGAAAUGCGCAGAGAUAUGGAGGAACACCAGUGGCGAAGGCGACUUUCUGGUCUGUAACUGACGCUGAUGUGCGAAAGCGUGGGGAUCAAACAGGAUUAGAUACCCUGGUAGUCCACGCCGUAAACGAUGAGUGCUAAGUGUUAGGGGGUUUCCGCCCCUUAGUGCUGCAGCUAACGCAUUAAGCACUCCGCCUGGGGAGUACGACCGCAAGGUUGAAACUCAAAGGAAUUGACGGGGACCCGCACAAGCGGUGGAGCAUGUGGUUUAAUUCGAAGCAACGCGAAGAACCUUACCAAAUCUUGACAUCCUUUGACAGCUCUAGAGAUAGAGCCUUCCCCUUCGGGGGACAAAGUGACAGGUGGUGCAUGGUUGUCGUCAGCUCGUGUCGUGAGAUGUUGGGUUAAGUCCCGCAACGAGCGCAACCCUUAAGCUUAGUUGCCAUCAUUAAGUUGGGCACUCUAAGUUGACUGCCGGUGACAAACCGGAGGAAGGUGGGGAUGACGUCAAAUCAUCAUGCCCCUUAUGAUUUGGGCUACACACGUGCUACAAUGGACAAUACAAAGGGCAGCGAAACCGCGAGGUCAAGCAAAUCCCAUAAAGUUGUUCUCAGUUCGGAUUGUAGUCUGCAACUCGACUACAUGAAGCUGGAAUCGCUAGUAAUCGUAGAUCAGCAUGCUACGGUGAAUACGUUCCCGGGUCU
Molecule: ribosomal RNA, 1372 nt
Filed under: uncultured bacterium
Lineage: Bacteria
Description: bacterial SSU rRNA
Rfam family: Bacterial small subunit ribosomal RNA
Source: RNAcentral